Small nucleolar RNA from Grammomys surdaster, 133 nucleotides. RefSeq annotates it as small nucleolar RNA SNORA17. NCBI's taxonomy places the organism in Eukaryota, Metazoa, Chordata, Mammalia, Rodentia, Muridae. The transcript has a single exon. The record is from RefSeq and is a predicted model, not a curated record.
ACUGCUCCUAGAGACAAUGAAUAUGUGGCUUCUGUGUCACAUGUGCAUUUGUAGGUGUCAGAGAGGAGAAAGACUAUGUCUAUUCUUAGUGUUCUGACCUGUGAACAUCUGAAUGAGUUAGUAGCCUAACAUU